UUGAAAACAAGGGCCAAGUGAUGAAGACUGAAGUCAAGAAUGACCAUGUUCUUUUCUACUUGGAAAAUGUUUUUGGUCGAGCAGACAGUUUCACUUUUUCUGCUGAGCAGAGCAACCUUGUGUUCAACAUUCAGCCAGCCCCAGGCAUGGUCUACGAUUAGUACGAAAAAGGUGGAGAAGCAUUUCUUUUAACAAACUGAUUCUUCUGUAUCAAACCUGGAAAAAAAUCAUGAACCAUCUGACAUCGUGAACAGUCUGCAGUGGGCUAUGGUUUCUUGACAAGUCUUA
Molecule: long non-coding RNA, 288 nt
Filed under: Homo sapiens (human)
Lineage: Eukaryota; Metazoa; Chordata; Mammalia; Primates; Hominidae
Description: non-protein coding lnc-SINHCAF-7:1
Source: RNAcentral